GCCCCCGGAUGGGGGGGUGUCUAAUGAUUGCAAGUCGAGCGGACUUUGCCUUCGGGUAAUGUUAGCGGCGGACGGGUGAGUAACACGUGGGUAACCUGCCCAUAAGACUGGGAUAACAUUCGGAAACGAAUGCUAAUACCGGAUACGCGAAACGGUCGCAUGAUCGAAUCGGGAAAGGCGGAGCAAUCUGCCACUUAUGGAUGGACCCGCGGCGCAUUAGCUAGUUGGUGGGGUAACGGCUCACCAAGGCGACGAUGCGUAGCCGACCUGAGAGGGUGAUCGGCCACACUGGGACUGAGACACGGCCCAGACUCCUACGGGAGGCAGCAGUAGGGAAUCUUCCGCAAUGGACGAAAGUCUGACGGAGCAACGCCGCGUGAGUGAUGAAGGUUUUCGGAUCGUAAAGCUCUGUUGCCAGGGAAGAACGCUUACGAGAGUAACUGCUCGUAAGGUGACGGUACCUGAGAAGAAAGCCCCGGCUAACUACGUGCCAGCAGCCGCGGUAAUACGUAGGGGGCAAGCGUUGUCCGGAAUUAUUGGGCGUAAAGCGCGCGCAGGCGGCCUUGUAAGUCUGUCGUUUAAACUCGGAGCUCAACUUCGAGUCGCGAUGGAAACUGCAAAGCUUGAGUGCAGAAGAGGAAAGUGGAAUUCCACGUGUAGCGGUGAAAUGCGUAGAGAUGUGGAGGACACCAGUGGCGAAGGCGACUUUCUGGGCUGUAACUGACGCUGAGGGCGCGAAAGGCGUGGGGGAGCAACAGGAUUAGAUACCUGUUAGUCCACGCCGUAAACGAUGAUGCUAG
RNAcentral lists this ribosomal RNA (800 nucleotides) under Paenibacillus sp. M061017-5. RNAcentral describes it as "bacterial SSU rRNA". It matches the Rfam family "Bacterial small subunit ribosomal RNA", at positions 21 to 819 of the family's 1533-position model. Lineage: Bacteria; Bacillati; Bacillota; Bacilli; Caryophanales; Paenibacillaceae. The record is from RNAcentral.